CAAUAAGCGGAGGAAAAGAAACCAACAGGGAUUGCCCCAGUAACGGCGAGUGAAGCGGCAACAGCUCAAAUUUGAAAUCCCGCCUUCUGGCGGGAGUUGUAAUUUGGAGAGGAUGCUUGGGGCGCGGCGCCCAGCGAGUGCCUUGGAACAGGCCGCCAGAGAGGGUGAGAGCCCCGUACGGUGGGAUGCCUAGCCCGUGCCAAGCUCCUUCGACGAGUCGAGUAGUUUGGGAAUGCUGCUCUAAAUGGGAGGUAAAUUUCUUCUAAAGCUAAAUACCGGCCAGAGACCGAUAGCGCACAAGUAGAGUGAUCGAAAGAUGAAAAGCACUUUGAAAAGAGGGUUAAACAGUACGUGAAAUUGUUGAAAGGGAAGCGCCUGUGACCAGACCUGCGCCCCGCGAACCACCUGGCGCUCGCGCCGGGGCACGCCGCGGGGUGCAGGCCAGCAUCGGCUCUCCCAGGGGGACAAAGGCUGCGGGAACGUAGCACUCUUCGGGGUGUGUUAUAGCCCGUGGCGCCAUGCCCUUGGGGGGGCCGAGG
This 539-nucleotide ribosomal RNA is filed under the name Ophiostoma sp. A TH-2011. RNAcentral's name for it is "eukaryotic LSU rRNA". It matches the Rfam family "Eukaryotic large subunit ribosomal RNA", at positions 44 to 593 of the family's 3401-position model. The record is from RNAcentral. Lineage: Eukaryota; Fungi; Ascomycota; Sordariomycetes; Ophiostomatales; Ophiostomataceae.